GAUUGCUCUUGCUGCACUGGUAGAGCUUCUAGAGGACCUGUGGCUACAGACGGUCUCCUGCUGCAGCCCUGAGCUGGAGAAGCCCCCUGUUUUUGGGCUGAGGGUGCGGGUGUUUCACGUUCAGGGUCAGGAGGCUCCUCUCAAUUUGUGCAUGGUGCAGACGUCCCUGUGGUCUUCUUUGAUAGAUUUGGGGAGCCUGAGUUGCUUCUGUGGCUGAAGAAGUUCUCAAGUCCCGGUAGGAGGAAGCCAGGGAGCCUUUCGGUGCUUCGUGGAUUGGAUAUGCCAUUAAAUACCUUACAGGGACUGCGCUUGGCUGAAGUCCAGGUGGUUUCUGGGACAGCUGGGCUCAGGGCAGGGUCCUGUCGGGCUCCCUGGGUGUCAGCGGCACCUGCCCCUGCAGGUGCUGCUCUUUGAGCCUCCCCACCCCCACUUCUGCUCCCACCGGGAGGAUCUGCUGGCCUGGUGGGGCCCAGGAAUGCAGAAGACUUUCCUCCUCCUCCCCCACCUUUCUUCUCUCUUGGUUAUCUCUAAGUCUAAAGGGUUGUGGAAAUGUGUUGGGCAAAAACAGAUGGGAAGCCUCCAGGGAGAGGCAGCCUGUCUUCAGCAGGGAGAUUCAUGGCUUUCGAUGUACAGCCAGGAGGGUGAAUAAAAGCUGGCACGUAGAACACAUUCAAGUGCGUUUUCCACUGACUUUAAAAAGCAAAAACUUGUUAAGGAAGUUUCCUUUUAUUUCUGGUUAUCAGUAAUUAUUUUUCAGGUAAGGUUGCUAAAUUAUAUCAUUGCCUUUUCAGCAAUAAUGAUGAAAACCAAAGGAUUUCCUCUUUUUGACCUACUUCCCUUUCUGAUGUGAUGAAUUAGUGUUUUAAAUGUAUAACAUGUAUAAAUAUGGCUAUAUUUUCUAAUAUUGAACCAAUCUUGCAAUCUUAAGAUAAACACAGACAGGUCUCAUGUAUUAUUAUUUUACUAUGUGGCUAGAUGUGAUUUGCUAAAAAUUUGAUUAGAAAUUUCUUUUUAAGUUUUUAAGAUCAACUUUAUUGAAGUAUAAUUCAUGUAUAAUAAACCCUUUGGAGUGUCCAAUUCAAUGACCCACCACAACCAAGAUACAGAACGACCGAGCCCUCCCUCCAGACUCUGCGGAUUCUCUGCAGCUAGGGCCCCUUGGCCCCACACCUGGAGCCGCUGAUAUGCUGUCACUGUGUGUUUGUUUGAAUUUUUUGCAUUACACGUACUGCAUUCUGAUUAUCCACCUUCUGUUGAUGAACAUUUAGGUGGUUUCCAGUUUUUGGCUUUCCACUUCUCCUGGAUCAACACCUACAAGGGGAAUGGCUGCAUCAUAUGAUAGGUGGAAACUUUCAAACUGUCUUCCAAAAUCGUGCGAUGUGCUGGCUUUUCUGGUUGCUCCACAUCCUCACUAAUACCAGCUACAGUCAGUCUUUUUCAUUUCACCCUUUCUAGUGGAUUUGUACUGGAGUCUCUUUGUGGUUUUAAUUUGCAUUUUCCUGAUAUGCUUAUUCAACACCCAUAUAUCUUUUAUGUCUGUCUAAAUCAUUUGCCCACUCUUUUGUUGGGUCAUUCGCCAUCUUCUCAUUGAUGCAUAAGAGUUAUUUAUCUUAGACACAAGUUUAGAUAUAUGUAUUGCAAAUAUUUUCUCUAUUCUAUGAUUUGCUUUAUUGUUCCCUUAAUGGUGUCUUUCCCAAAGCAAAAAUUUUAAAUUUACCAAGUUUUUCUUUAAUGGUUUAUGGUCUUUUGUGUCAUAGCUAAGAAAUAUUUGCUGGCUUUGAGACUUUCUUCUAGAAGUUCUACAGUUUUUGGUUUUACAUUUAGGGCUAUGAUUCAUUUUGAGUUAAUUUUGGUGUAUAAUAUCAAUCAAUGUUCAUUUUUUCAGCCAGGCGCAGUGGCUCACACCUGUAAUCCCAGCACUUUGGGCAGAUUGCUUUAGGUCAGGAAUUCGAGAACAGCCUGGCCAACGUGGUGAAACCCCAUCUCUACUAAAAAUACAAAAAUUAGCUGGGUGUGGUGGCAGGUGCCUGUAAUCCCAGCUACUUGGGAGGCUGAGGUAGGAGAAUCGCUUGAACCUGGGAGGUGGAGGUUGCAGUGAGCUGAGAACACACCACUGCACUCCAGCCUGGCAACAGAGUGAGACUCCGUCUCAAAAAAAACAAAAAACAAAAAACAAAGGAUUUUUAUAUCAAUAAAGGACAUUGGUCUAUGGUUUUCUUUUUUGUUAUUGUCUUUACCUGGUUUUGGUAUUAAUAUUAAUUUUGUAAAAUGAGUUGGAAAGUGUUCUUUCCUCUUCUAUUUUCCAAAGGAGAUUGGGUGGAAUUAUAAAUUCUUUAAACAUUUGGUAGAAUUCUCCAAUAAAACCAUCUGGGCCUGGAGAUUUCACUUUUGGCAAUUUUUAAAUUACAAAUUCAAUUUUCUAAAUAGUUGUAAAACUAUUCAAAUGAUCUAUUUCAUAUUGGAUGUGUUGUCGGGUUUUUUUUUUUAAUGAAUUGGUCAAUUUCAUCUAAGUAGUCAUAUUUACAUAGAAUUGUUUGCAGUAUUCCUUUAAUAUCCUUUGAUGUCUGCAGGGUCUUUAGUAUGGCCCCUGUUCAUUUCUAAUAUUGAUAAUUUAUGCCUUCUCUCUUUUUGGUCAGUCUUGCUACAGAUUUGUCUAUUUUAUUGAUCUUUUUAAAGAAAAAGUUACUUGUUUCCUUGAUUUUUCUCUUUUGUUGUUCUUUUUUCAACUUUGUGGAUUUCUGUUCUUAUCCUUAUUAUUUCUUUCCUUCUGCUAUUUUGGGUAAAAUAUUAUUUUGCUUUUCUUUUUCUAGGCUCUGGAGGCGGGAGCUUAGAUUACUGAUUUGAAACUUUUCUCUUUGCUAAUAUAGGUAUUUAGUAUUAUAAAUUUCCCUGUCAGUACUGCAUUAGGUAUAUCACUUAAAUUUUGAUUUAUAUUUUUAUUGUCAUUCAGUUUAGUGCAUUGAUUUUCUUUGACUUUCUCUGUCACCCAUGGAUUCUUUAGAAUAGUACUGCUUAGUUUUCAAGCAUCUGGACAUCUUGUUAUCUUUCUGUUAUUGAUUUCUAACUUGAUUCUAUCGUGGUCAGAGAACACAUUCUCUGUUUAAAAUUCUUUUUAAGUCUGUUGAGAUUCGUUUUAUGGCCCAGGAUAUGGUCUAUCUUAGUAUACAUUCCAUUGGCAUUUGGAAACAGCAUAUAUUCUGGUGUUGUUGAGUGGGUGUUCUGUAAAUGUUGAUUAGAUUCUAUUUGUUGAUGGUGUUAUUGGGUUCUAUGUUCUUGCUGAUUUUCUGUCUAGUUAUUUUAUCAAUUAUAGAGAAAAGCAUGUUGAAGUCUCCAACUAUAAUUGUAGACUUGUCUAUUUCUCCUUUAUGUUCUAUUAAUUUUUGCCUCACAUACUUUGUAUAUCACUAUUAGGAGCAUACAUAUCUAGAGUUCAUUCCUAUGUCUUUUCGGUGGAUUGACCCUUUUAUCAUUAUACAAUGUCCCUCUCUAUCUCUGGCAAUUUUCUUUGUUCUGUCGUCUAUUUUAUCUGAUGUACUAUAAUCACUUCUGCUUCUUUUUUGCUUAAUGUUUACGUGAUAAACUUUAUUCCAUUCUUUAACUUUCAACUCUUCUAUAUUGUUAUGUCUGAAGUGAGUUUCUUGUAACUAACACAUAGUUAGGUCACAGUUUUUAAUCCAUUCUACAAAUGUUUGUCUUUAAUUAAUGCAGUUAGACCAUUUACAUUUAAUGUAAUUAUUGAUAUUUUAGGACCUAAGUCUGACAUUUUUUUUUGUUUUCUGUUUGUUCUGUUUUUCAGUGCUCUUUUUUCCUUUUCUGUCUUCCCAUGAGUUACUUGAACAAUUUUUAUAACUCCAUUUUGAUUUUUCUAUAGUGUUUUUAAGUAUAUCUCUUUAUAUUAGUUUUUAAUGAUUGGUCUAGAUAUUACAUUUAUAUAAAUAGCUUAUCACUGUAUACUUGUAUCAUCAUUUUACCACUUUGAGUAAAGUAUAGAAACUUCACCUCCCUUUGUCUUUUUUAUCUCUUAUCUAUGAUAUAAUUGUCAUAAGUAUCUCCUCCAGAUAUAUUAAUAUUUAGAGCUACAGUGGUUUAAUUUUUGCUUCAUCAAAUAUAAUUUAGAAAAUUUGAGAGGAGAAAAAAGGCAUAUUAUAUAUAUCCAUACUUUUGCUACCUUGUUCUUCCUUCCUGAUAUUCCAAGUUUUCCUCUUUGAUCAUUUUCUUUCUGUGUAGGGAAGCCCCUUUAGCCAUUCUUUUUGGAUGGAUAUGCCAGUGACAAAUGUUCUUAGUUUUCUUUCAGUUAAGAAUGUCUCAAUUUUCCCUUUCAAUCCUGAAGAUUAUUUUUGCUGAAUACAGACUUUUGUGUUGGCAGUUUUGUGUGCUACUUCCUUCUAGCCUCCACGGUUUCUGAUGAGAAAUCUGUUGCCAUUUGAAUUGCUUUUCCCUAUGGGUAAAAUGUCAUUUCUCUCUGUGUCUUUACUUUCCAGAAGUUUGACUAUGAUGUGUCUUGGUAUGAAUUUUUUUGAAUGUAUCCUGUUUGGAGUUUUUUCAGCCUCUCAUAUUUGUAGGUUUAUGUCUUUUGCCAAAUUUCUUAAGUUUUCAGUCAUUUUAUUUUUGGUUUUUCCAGCUCCAUCCUCUUUCUCCUCUCCUUCUGAGAUUUUGAUGACACGAAUUCAGAUCUUUUGUUAUAGCCCCAGAAGUCCCUGAGGUUCUGUUCAUGUUUUUUCCAGUCUAUUUUCUCUCUGUUGUUCAGAUUGGGUAAUUUUUAUUGUACUUCUGUUUCGCUGAUUCUUUCCACUGUUUCUUCAAUUUUGCUGUGGAGCCAACCCAUUGAGGUUAUUUAUAAGUAAGGACUUACUACUGCCGUUGUGUUGCUUGUUUUCUGGUUGUCUCAUAACUCCUCUCCUCCUCUCUUUCUUUGUUACUGUCAUCCUUUGUGGUUAAGUGGUUUUCUCUGGUAGUAUGUUUUAAUUCAUUGCUUUUUAUUUUUAGUGUAUCUAUUAUAGGAUUUUGCAUUAUGAUUACUGAGGCUUACAAAAACACUUUAUAGACAUUUUGAAGAGAUGACAACUAUCGUAGAUCUGUUUGCUUUUUAAAUCAUUUUUCUCUUUAAUUUAUAUGGUGUUUAUCAAUCUCUUUAAGCUUACUACUAUUUUCCUCUAUUAAACCUGAACUUUUUAUUUCAAAUAUUGUAUUUUUUAGUUUUAAAAUUCCAUUUGGUUCUGUUUAAUAUUUUAUAUUUUCCUGCUUAGAUUUUUUUAUAUUUUCAUUCAUCAUAAGCAUACCUUUACUUCACUAAGCACAGUUACAAUAGCUGUUUUAAAGUACUUGUCUGGUAACUCCAACAGUCUUUUCAUCUCAAUAUUGGAAACUAAAAGUUGUCAUUUCUUUUGAAGAUUGGUAAUAUUUUUCUUGGUCUUCAUAUGUCAAAUAAUUUUGGAUUUUAUCCCAAAUAUAAAUUUUAUGUGUAGUGGCUCUGGAUUCUAUUUCUCCAGAAAGUGUUGACAAUUUUUGCUUUAGCAGGCAAUCACCUUCCUCAAGAGAGGAAGUUUCUAAACCAAGGCGAGUGGUCUGCAGAGCAAAAUCAAGGCAGGCAGACCUCCUCCAUCCAAGAGGGCUCUUGGCUUCACUUAGGAGAGAUUCACACACACACACCGACAGUGGAGGAAGCGUUGAUCAGGAGUGAUUCACACAUGAGCCAACAGUGGAGGAGGCAUUGAUCAGGAGUGAUUCACACAUGAGCCAACAGUGGAGGAGGCAUUGAUCAGGAGUGAUUCACACGUGAGCCAACAGUGGAGGAGGCAUUGAUCAGGAGUGAUUCACACGUGAGCCGACAGUGGAGGAGGCAUUGAUCGGGAGAUGAUUCACACGUGAGCCGACAGUGGAGGAGGCAUUGAUCGGGAGAUGAUUCACACGUGAGCCGACAGUGGAGGAGGCAUUGAUCGGGAGAUGAUUCACACGUGAGCCGACAGUGGAGGAGGCAUUGAUCGGGAGAUGAAUCACACGUGAGCCGACGGUGGAGGAGGCAUUGAUCGGGAGAUGAAUCACACGUGAGCCGACGGUGGAGGAGGCAUUGAUCGGGAGAUGAUUCACACGUGAGCCAACGGUGGAGGAGGCAUUGAUCAGGAGAGAUUCACACGUGAGCCGACGGUGGAGGAGGCAUUGAUCAGGAGAGAUUCACGCGUGAGCCAACAGUGGAGGAUGCAUUGAUCAGGAGAUGAUUCACACAUGAGCCAACAGUGGAGGAGGCAUUGAUCAGGAGAGAUUCACACAUGAGCCAACGGUGGAGGAGACAUUGAUCAGGAGUGAUUCACAUGUGAGCCAACAGUGGAGGAAGCAUUGAUCAGGAGAUGAUUCACACAUGAACCAACAGUGAAGGAGGCAUUGAUCAGGAGAUGAUUCACACAUGAGCCGACAGUGGAGGAGGCAUUGAUCAGGAGAGAUUCACACAUGAGCCGACGGUGGAGGAGGCAUUGAUCAGGAGUGAUUCACACGUGAGCCAACAGUGGAGGAGGCGUUGAUCAGGAGAGAUUCACGCCUGAGCUGACGGUGGAGGAAGCGUUCAUCAGGAGAGAUUCGCACGUGAGCUGACAGUGGAGGAGGCGUUGAUCAGGAGAGAUUCACACAGAAUCAGACAGUGGAAGAAGCAUUGAUUAGGGCGACAGGGCACAGCCAAAGGCUGCUGCACGGACAGAGCAGGGCUGUCCACUGGCAAAGGGGCCCCCUCAGAUUGCUGGCUGGCUGUUUAUACCUCCACCUAAUUACACGUAAAUGAGGGGUGGGUUAUUCACGAACCUUCUGGAAAGCGGUGUGGAGGUCAUGCGGUCCUGGUAACACAGGCUGCUUCCUUUUCAGUGACCAGCGUCAUUUGGCGCAGCCCCCAGAGUCUCAUGACAACGACCUUGUUCUGCUCAAGAGCCCUGUACGGUCCCCUCUUCUGUGGAUGGAAACUGAGGCACAGCAAUGACAGCAUCAACGGAGCCACCCUGCUCCUGGCUGUGCUCUGCAGGAGCCUCCACUCGGGGGCAGAGGACAAACAGCCCCACACUUGGAAGCACAGCUCGGGAGCAGCAGCUGAGUUGCGCUGUGAGGAGAUGCCAGGCGGCUGUUUAUCCAUCGGCUGCUUGCAAGUGAUGGGGCCGGGUUUACCCUCCUUUCCUGCCCAUGAUUUGGGCUCUUGGCAAAUCAAAGGUUUAAAGAUACCAGCUCUUGGAACCACAAAGUAAACACAGCAUAUCUUCCUAAUUCCUUUCACCACGCGGUGCACAGUUUUAUGUGCUAAUUGUGUUUACUGGAAGAACUCAUGGCUGGUUCAAACAAAUUCUUAUCGUGGAAAAAACGUCUCCCCUGCCGUCAGCUGCUGGUACUGGUGGGAUAGGAGUGCAGCACGGAGCACAGAGGCUGGAGCUGGGUCAAACCGGGAGGCAAGAGUGCAGGUGCACUGCUCCUGAGCUCAGCAGGCCCCACGGCAUCUGCUGUGUGUAGAGGGGCUGACCGUAGAUCGCUGCUUAUUGUGGUUCCGUUUAAGAGUCCUCCCUGGCAGGAUCCCUGCUCCUUAAAAGCACAGUGCAGAGCAUCUUAGCUCCGAUGCACCAAGCAUGCCCCAGCUGUGCCUCAGCGAGGAGGGUGAGCUCUGGGCCAAGACCCCCUCUCCUGGUCCGGGACCCCUGAGCGCUUUUGACUCGGGAUGACUGACAAAGUCCCUGGCCGGGUUUGUUCUUCCCAGGCUGUCCCAGUGGCUUCUGAAUUUUUGGCCCAUGUCUUGGGUGUAGAAACUACAAGAGAAUUUUAGUAGAGCAGUGUGUUGUUGGCAAGCAAGUUAGAUCAUCCCACUGAGCUUCUGUGACUUUCCUCUUUGCAGUUAUGGUUCCAAACCAGAGUUUCCCUAGGAAAUAAACACGGAGGGGCUGAAAGGACCUGGGGCCAUCGGGGGUGGAUGGCCAUAUCCUGGGGCCUUGAUGCCAGUGCCGACUGUUCCCUGCACGCUUCCACGUCCACGCCAACAUUGCAAGGCUAUGUCACGGACUGGAACAGCUACAGUGAUGACACACCUGAGGUGAACACAACUCCAGCAGCAUCCUGGCCUCUCAUGGGGCAAGUGCAUGUGGAAUCUAGAAACUUCACAGCUGAGCCUGCAAAGGUGCUCAUGGCAUGCAGAAGUGUUUCUGGGUAGGUAAAGCCCAGGCUAAUCGCAGGUUCAGUGACCCGACAGUGCAUUUAGGACAGUGAUACUAGAUGGGACGACCAAGCUCUGUGAGUUACACAAUGGGGUGAGUUAGACAGUGGGGUGAGUUACACAAUGAUGGGGUGAGUUACACGAUGGAGUGACUUACAUAAUGGGGUGAGUUACAAAAUGGGGUGAGUUACACAAUGAUGGAGUGAGUUACACAAUGAUGGAGUGAGUUACACAAUGGAGUGAGUUACACAAUUGGGUGAGUUACACAGUGAGGUGAGUUACACAAUGAUGGGGUGAGUUAUACAAUGAUGGGGUAAGUUAUACAAUGAUGGGGUGAAUUACACAAUGGGGUGAGUUACAUAAUGGGGUGAGUUACACAGUGAGGUGAGUUACACAAUGAUACGGUGAGUUUCACAAUGAUGGGGUGAGUUACACAAUGAUGGGUGAGUACACAGUGGGGUGACUUGCACAGUGGGGUGAGUUACACAAUGGGGUGAGCUACACAGUGGGGUGAGCUGCACAAUGAUGGGGUGAGUUACACAAUGAUGGGGUGAGUUACACAGUGGAGUGAGUUACACAGUGGGGUGAUUUGCACCAUGGGGUGAGUUACACAAUGAUGGGGUGACACAGUGGGGUGAUUUGCACAGUGGGGUGAGUUACACAAUGGGGUGAGUUGCACAGUCAGGUGUUACACGGUGGGGUGAGUUGCACACUGGAGGCUUCAGGCUCGCUCCCCCUUGCUCUCCCCCAAUAGAUCCAGUGGUAGGAAGUCAUUUCAAGCAGCUUGUGAACAUUCACAGAAGCAGCUCAGGAUCAUCCUGCUGCUUCUGAGAGGUAAGCUGGACAGGUUACUGCCUCUGACAUGGGGGAGGAGAGAAAACUCCUGAAUUUUGGUGCCCCCAGAUAUAUCGUGGAUCAAGAGGUCAGUAUUAUUCCAUGCUUCUUCCCACUGUGAAACAAAAUGAGACGUCUAGCGGGAGCCUCGCGUUGCCAGUGAAAUCAACCCAGAUGUGCAGGCAUGAAAAAAAAAUAGCCGGAAAAUCUGCCCAGGAGACCAGGGACAGCCAGGAGACACAACGCCAGGGCCGGGGCGCUCCCAGCAGGGCUGGCCUGACGUUGCCACCAGUGUGGAGGGUCCCCAGUGGGGCAUGCGGGACACGCCCCGGAGGCCCGUCGGGAGGUCAGGCAGUCCCACGGGGGAAGCAGCUCAGCCCAGUGAAGUGGCCGUCCACACUCUCAGAGGAGCCUACCACGUAAGGCACUGGGAGUUGAGUGACCCUGAGGGCCACAAGGCUGGGAGAAGAUUCAGAGCUUGCACUCUUUGUCCAUAGCCAUAGCUGGCUGUGUGGGAUUCAAAUGGAAAACAGAGGGUUCCAGAAACCAUGGUGACCACAGACAGCCCUUGCCUCUGCAGGGUACAUCAGGGCUCAGAAUGUGCUGUCCCCCUUAUCAAUCAUCACUGAGACCUCAGCAGAAUGAGAGGGCCCCGCAGAGACAGCAGGCAGGGGCCAGGCCUUGGAAAUGCUGCACACGGACCGGACCCCAGUCGUCCUGCCACGGCCAUGCCCAUCUCGGCUGAGGCCACCGAGGUCUGGAGAAGGUCCUCACUUGCUCAAGGACACACGGCGGGUAGACUGGCUAGAUUCAUGCUCAGAGUGUUUCCUGCCUCUCCCCGGGGCCCCUUGAUGUCAGGUUUGGGUGACGCUUUCGCCAAUGUCCUGGCCGAGCAGAUGCCUCAGGGGCUAUCAUGUGGUUCCACCAUGUCCCCAUCCUCCAGCCCACAGAGCCUCCCAUGAGAGGCAUCCUUCAGCCUGGGUCCCAGAACUGAGAGGCCAUGGAGCAGAGCUCCAGCUGACCAUCAUGUGCCUGUAGCGCGAGUGAGAAGCACACGCUGUCGCUGGAAGCCCAAGACACAGGAGGCCAUUUGUUUCUGCAGUGCAGCCCGGCUCAAGCUGACUGAUCCCAAGUGAGGCUCAAGCCUGCCUGCCCAGCCCCGGAGCCACCACUUCUGCCCCACAACCCUGCCUCUCGGGGUGACAGGAAAGGCAGUUCUUACGCAUCGUAGAGAGGAGGCGGGUGCAGUCGCUGCAGUAAACAGGAGCUGAUAAGAGCCAGUGGGACUGAAGAGCUGCCUGCUGGGGAGCGGCUCUGUGGAAUUCCACCCCGGGCACGGUGGGCACACGUGUCACUCUUGGCAGGUGUGGACACUAAUGAGACUUUGGGUACAGCUACCUGCUGGGGCCUAGACAUUCCGUGGGGCAGCGGGGGCACCCGGGGCAGUGCCUCACCCCGACACCAGGCCAGCAGAGACUGGUGGACCCCUCUCUUCCCCAGAGUGGGCCCAUCAGGAUGCCCAAAGCUCCCAGCUGGUGGUCACUGAUUUUGCACUUUGACCCGUCCUCAAAACAUGAGGUCUCUGUGAAAGCAUAGACACCUUGAGAGUCCCAGCAUAUGGGUGUGUGGCUGAUCUCCCUUCCCUCCUGGCAGGAAACCCAGAGCCCUGAGCAGUUGUCACCCAAGAUGGUGGCCCCAGAGCCACCUGGCCAGGCUCCCCACUUUUUCCUGAGCUGGACUCUCAUGGCUGGUAACAGCCCAGGGUACCCCUCCAGCUCUGCCCUCCCAACUCUGGCUGCCCCCAGGUGUUCCCCGUGUCCAGCCCUGUGAUGGGGAGUGCAGAGCGAGGCUUGGAGGGUGGGCGGGGAGCAGGUUCUGAUCUCAACUCUUCCGUGCUCUGGGUGAGCAAGGCGGCUGCCUAAGGUCCCAAGGACAAGAGCCCGCAGCGACGGUCAGGAUCAUUGAGGAGAACGCCUGGAAAGUGCUUGUUGAGUUCUCUGUCCAUAGUAGGUGCUCGGUAAAUGUCAAAGAUUUCCCAAAUAUUUGUAUUGCUGCCAAGCUGAAGCAUUUAGAAAUGCAUCAGUUUCAUCUCCUCUUUGUGGUUGGACUUGGGCCCAGAAGCUGGUCCCCAAAGUGGCUUCACUUGUAGGACCAAGUAUGAGCCCAGCCCAGCCCACAGCUGCCGCGCAGCCCUGCGACCCAUUGGGUUAUAAGGUGGAGGUCUCGGAGCUUCUGCUAGGAGCCCCCACCAGCCUCUGAGUCAACCAGAGGCCCCGGCGGCUGACCCCCUACAGCCCCCGGGGCCACAGCCCGAAGUGUGGGUUGAAGGGCUCCUGGCAGAAGCCUGGCCUGCAAGCACCGGCAUCCAAGCUUCCACAGCAAAGUGAUCCCAUGCCAGGAGCAGACGUGACGGCUCCCUCAAACCAGGAAAACCUGUUUAAAAUUCCACAUGUCACCGUGGGCCUUCCUUUUCCACCCUCCAUCGUCCAGCAGGUGUCGGGCCCCAGGCUGGAGGCCACGUGCCAGGCUGGCAGGAUUUGUCCACUGUGAAGCUCGACGCCCCCGCAGGCCCUGUGCUGCCCGCCCGGAUCCCCCUGCCUCAGGAUGCCCUCCACACCCUCCGAAUUCCCAGCCGCUGCUCUGGGGCCUGCACAGAGGGCUUGGGCCCAGCACCUGGAAACUCCAAAGAGGCAAACGGGUUCAUGUCCAGGUUUUGUCAGAUCGCUUCCGAGGCUGCCCUCUUCGCCGUGGCUGCUGAGUGCAGAGCUGGGCAUCUGAGUGGACAGAGUGGUGCUCCGCUUCCUUGCAUCUCCUGGGCCAUGCGUGGUGACCUGUGCCCACUGCAUCGCUCCUGUGUGCCCUGUGCAUGUGACCGUGUCUUUCCCGUGUAUUCAGUGCUGCUUCAUGUGUGAGUUUCUCUGUGUUCCAAACCCCAACUACAGUGAUUUUACAGAUGAACCUUAAUAGAUGUGAAAUCUAUAAGUAGCUAUUAAUCUUUGUGUCAUAUUUACUGCAAAUAUUUCCCCCACUCCACUAGCUUCCAGUUCCGCUUUGUGGUUUGUGAGUGACCAGUGCAUCCCGUUCCUGCUGCAGCAGCUGCAAUGUGCACUGUCCUGCAGGAAGCCCUCGGGGUAGGGCCUGGGGGCUGUGGGAAGCUCAGCAACAAGGUAAGGGAAUGGGCAGCUUUGUUUUAUUUAUUUAUUUAUUUUUACUAUUUAAUUAUCUCACCUUAUUACACUUUAAUUAAAAUAUCGAUCUUUACACAAUACACUUGAACUGUGGAAUAAAGCAGGACCAGAUGUGGACCCUGGAGCUGACAGUUACUUGCCUCCCACCCAGCCACGUCCUAAUUCUCUUUUUGCAAAAGCAACUACUUGUCCCUGUUAAAGCUGUUCCUUCUGGUCAUGACUGUUUUAUCACAAAAUCAUAUGCCUCUAUUUUUGUUGCUUGACUUACCCAUUUUAGACAUUAUCUGUUUAUUUCCUGCUGGACAGGUAUUUUAGCUCCAUCUCCCCUACUUCCACAUCCACACUAUAAUUAUAUCUCUAUUUUUAGUUAAAUCCAUAGUUAGUAUUUACAUUUUCAUGACUAAGUAAAUAUUGCUUAUGACUGAGCCAAACAAAGCAUGAUGGUUAUUUUUCAUUCCAUCAACAGCUUCCCCCUGCCCUUCGCCCACCCUGAUAGUUUUGACUUUUUUUCUCACAACACAUUCUCAUGUGUGUUCAUAGUCUCCCGACUAUCUUCUAUCUGCCUUCACCCCCAGUGCUCCAUUAUGCCAGGAGGUCUCCUCAGGAUGAGCCCCAUGUGCAGCCUACAUUGUGCUACUCUCUCAGAUCCAGUGUGCAGCUCUCCUCCUGGGACUUCCCUCCACAACUUUUCUCAGUUGAAUCCACUAUGUGUUGGAUCCCAGGUCUUCCUCUUUAUUUUCUCCUUCAUUUUGCUGGAGCACAUCCUCAAGUAACUUUCUAAAAUAAGUUUAAACAGGUAAAUGUUUUGGAAGGUUGAAUGCCACAAAACAUCUUUAUUCUACCUUCAUACUUGACUCAUAAUAUUGCUGGAACCAAUUUCUAAGUUCAAAAUCAUUUUUCAGGAGCUAGGAAUUGAACUCAACCUAUCUAAUUCCAAAAUUAGGGUUAUUUUAUUUGACACGAUCUCUGGCUAGGAAGCAAGCACAACAGCUCCACCGUUAUUGGCAAGUUACUGAAAGCAACCCUUUGACAGCAGCCGCAGAUCCACAGCCAUACAGAAUUUUCCUUUUUAAACAAGUUGCUCACCAUUAGGAUGCUCUGAUUUCUCCAUUUGUAAAAUGAAGAUUCUCUGUCAACUUUUGGUUUUAGUUUUUGGUCUGGCAUAUUUGGUAAGCUACAAGUGAUCUUUGGCUGAAAAUCAGUCAUGUGUGGCGGGUCGUUUCACCAGGUGCCCUGCACCCAGAGAUCUAGGGCCCUCAAUCGUCCUUCAGUUGCUGUCAGUGCAAGGGCAAUCUCACCCAACCCUCCACAGGGAAAGGCAACUGCCACACGCCUCUGAGAGCAGGGAUGCAGCAAGCGCUGACUCUGGGCUUACAGGGGUCCCGCCCAUAACAGCGCACCACAGACCAGGGCUCACCCCACAAACAUUUUUCUCGCUCAGUCCUGGAGGCAGAAAGGCCAACAUCAGGGUGCCAGCAUGGCUGGCGUCUGGUGAGGCUCUCUUCCUGGUUUGCAGACUGUUGCCAUGGUAUUGUGAUAAUAACAAAAUAUAGAUUUGGUCUUCGUCCCAGAUUCCCAACACCAGAGCUUCUAAGAGACCUGGAACCUCUUGAGUGAUGAGCGUGUCUUUUGUGUGCUGACGAGAGGACAGAGCUGGUGACCCUUGGGCAGCUUCAGGAAGGGACUGCUCCCCAGAAAGACCAAGGCAGGACUUAUAGAGUCCUGGAUAACCCUCUCUGCCCUGUCUCCUUCCCACCUACCGCCCUGAAGGCUGCUUCCGCCUCUGCCCAGACUGCAGAUGCUCCCAGGCUGUGUCCUCUGCCCGCCUCUUCUCUCCAGCCCUCUCUCAUGGCAGUCCCACCUGACAACUCCCAUGGCCUCCUGGGUGUCCUGCAAAGGCUUUGUCACUGGUGUCACUCCUCCAGGCCUCAGAUAAUUCCAGAUACACAAGCGCUCUCCCAACAAGCCAUAUUCUCACCUCUGCAAAGCAUUUCCAAGCAUCUCCGUUUCCUCUGCAUAAGCGACACGGCCCAGCCACCCGAGCCCUCGUUGCCAUCCACCACUGGGCAUCAGCUUCCACUCCCGUCUUUCUCGUGUCCUCUGGUCCAGCCCCUGGUGAGCUCCAGCCAAGCACCGCCUACUGGGCCUCUGGUCUUUACCUGUUCUGUUCCCUCUGCCUGGAGUUUUUUUAAGUAGAAAAAUGCGAGAAUGUGGAGUGGGAAUGUAAAAUGGUGUGGCUGCUGCAGAAAACACUUUGGUGGUUCCUGAAAAAGUUUAGGCAUACACUUAGCAUGGGACUCAGCAUUUACCCCUUAAGCACACGCCCCAUGGAAACAAAACCUGUUCCCUCGGAAACGCGCACACAGACGCUCGUAGCUACGUCCUUCGUAACAGCUGGAAGGCGGAUGUUGGGAACAGGCCCCCCAAAAUCUGGCCAUAAACUGGCCCCAAAACUGGCCAUAAACAAAAUCUCUGCAGCACUGUAACAUGCUCAUGAUGGUCAUGACGCCCACGCUGGAAGGUUGUGGGUUUACCGGAAUGAGGGCAAGGAACGCCUGGCCCAUUCAGGGCGGAAAACCGCUUAAAGACAUUCUUAAUCCACAAACAAUAGCGUGAGCGAUCUGUGCCUUAAGGGCAUGCUCCUCCUGCAGGUAACCAGCCAAACCCAUCCCUUUAUUUCCAGCCCAUCCCUUUAUUUCCCAUAAAGAAUGCCUUUAAAUCUAUAAUCUAUAAAAACAAUGCUUAUCACUGGCUUGCUGUCAAUAAAUAUGUGGGUAAAUCUCUGUUCAAGGCUCUCAGCUCUGAAGGCUGUCAGCCCCGAUUUCCCACUCCACACCUCUGUAUUUCUGUGUGUGUGUGUGUCUUUAAUUCCUCUAGCGCCGCUGGGUUAGGGUCUCCCUGACCGAGCUGGUCUCGGCAGGCGGAGACGACCGGGUGUCCACCACAGGUGAAGGGAUUAACAAAUGGUGCCCGGUCCCUGGGGUGGGAUAUUAUGCAUCUGUGAACAGAAGUGAGACACUGAUACACUGAGGGGACUCAGGGGCCACCACUGGGAUGAGGCUUGGAAAUGUGGCUUCCACCGAAAGAAGUGAGACACAAACGUUCGCACACCGCGUGAUUCCUUUUAUAUGAAAUAUCCAAAACGGACAAAUCCAUAGAGACAGAAAGCAGAUCUGUGGUUUCCAGAGGAUGGGGAAGGAAUGAGGAGUGAUUACUUAAUGGGGAUGAGCUGUUGUUCUGGAGGGAUGAAAUGUUCUGAAACUGGAGAAGCAGAGGUUGCACAACGUCGUGAAUCCAGCAAAUGCCGCCGAAGUAUAUGCUUCAAGAUGGCUGUUAAGUGAAUUUCACUCCAUAAAAGGUGUGUUUUAGAGGGUUAUGCCCAUGAGCGAGCCUACCUAUACAUGUGCAGUGUCACAUUACUGAGACGAUUCUGUUUAGAGCAAAGCCACCUACCUCCCACGUCCCUUUCCAGCCUGUCUUCUUAGCCACCUGCCUCCCACAUCCUUCUCCAGCUUUGUCUCCUUGCAUGCAGCCCUCUCAGGGCUUUUGAGGCCUGGAGGCCAAGGGUGCUGGGAGGUCCCACUUUGUACCCUCUCCCGAGAGCUUUGAGGGGUACCUGCCGCCUCUAGCUGUGCCUUCUCUGUGCCCUUCAACUCUGGAGUGAGGUCAGAUCUUGGCUCUGGGGCCACCACCAGCUGUUUCAGGCUUGCAAAGUUCUGUCCGACAAAAUACAGCUCCGCUUCCCUGUGGGGGGAAGCAUUGGCCCCAACAGGCCUUCUUCACCAACGGGGACAGCAGUCCCUUGAGUGGAGCCCUGGACUCAGGGAGCUCUGGUCAGUGAAACUCUCAGCUAGGGGCUAAGGGUAUGGGGACCUUCAUAUGUGGGACAGGCUCCUCGCUGGGGACGCUGCCACCAGGCCUGUGAGGCAGCCAGCCAAGUUCCACUUGCUGCAGCUGGGGCUGCUCUGGACGGCCAAUCCAGACACCUCCCCCCUCUCCACCCUCUUUCCAUCCUCAGGUUUGCAUUUCUUAGGUCUGGCACUUCAACUGCAAAGUACAAGUCCUGGGCUAUCUCCUCCUGCUCUGCUGAAGGCCACAUCGAUGCUUGGAAGGUAGGGUCAGCCCAGUCCCUUGCUCCACACACCCAACUACACUGAUGGAGCGACCGUCUACACAGGGAUCCUACGGUGGGGAGUGAGCCUUGCUGGCCUGAUGCAUGGCAGUGGUUCCUGCUCCAAUAAGACCAAGAAUAAUUAAUAACUGUGACUAAGUUAGAAGCUUUGGCUGCAUCUGAAUUCACCAGCGUUUCCAGCUCCUGAGGCCAUGUGCGGUGUCACCUCACUCCUGGCAGACAGACUCCCACUCGGAGGAUGAUUUUUCAUAGCCAGGGUCGCUCUGUGGACCUUGGAUGGACCAACGUGCUUUCCAUGUCCAACUUUGUCAAGAUCCGGGGAAGAUUCUCCAGCAAGUCUCUUGGAAACAUGUGCAUGUGGCCCCAGGCGACGUGAGGGGUGCAGUCUGCCUGCGUUAUGCAAUGCUCAGGCCAGUUUUCCCUGAGAGAGGAAUGCUGCCGAUCCUCUGCGGUAACCCACAAAACUCCACGGAGAUGCUUGGAAGGAAAAGCAUCGCGUCCUCCAGAUGUUUUGAAAUGUUCAAGUAUUUAAAAGGGAAAUGGAAUUUCUGUUUAUCCUUUUAAGUGACAAUUAUUCAUUGCGUCUUCCUGGCCACAGCUCAUUCAGCACUACUGCAGAUCCGGCCAGACCCCCAGGAGCCGCGGCCCCUGCACAGCCAAGGCCAAGAAGCUCCCAUCGUGGAGGGGGGCGCAUUCCGGACCUGUGAGGCCCGGGGUUCGUUUUUAUGCCUCCUUAAAGGGAUGAGCCAGAGAAGAAAGUCUUCGCAAAGCCUUUGCCCCAGGAGGGGCGGGGCUGCGCAGGGCGCCUGUGGAGGCCGUGGCCGGGCAGGUGGGGAGGCUCACACACAGGCCAGAGGCUUCCCUGGAAACUGACGCCCUAGGGCAGGUCCAGCUCCUGGAUGGUCGCAGGUGAAGAAACGCCAGGCCCAAGGGUCCUGGGAGAGAGAGGGGAACAGCGCCCAGGAAGAGGUGCAGGUUCCCAGGGACUGCAAGGGCCGCCGCCACCCUCCCACACCCCACCCUCGCUGCAUCACCAGUCAGCCCAGGGCAGGCUGCUGACCCUCCCUUGGCCUCAGUUUCCUCAUCUGUAAAAUGGAAAAAGAAGCAUGUCCACCUCACCAGUGGUCACAGUCACAGGUGCUGACAUGGAGAAGGAUUGAUGCGUCCUCCUGAGUGCUGCCUUGUCAUGCUAUAAACCAGGAGGCCUGGCUCUCUGCCUCCCGGGAAGGUCUGUUUCUAAUCCUGUGCUGGGUCUGCGUGGCUCCAUGGCCUCAGAGGCUGACACCGAGUGUGGUGUCCCUGGGUCACCGUGCUCCUUGGUUUGGUCCAGCAGGAGAAAGGGCAGCCUGCCAAGGAGAAGGCUGUGAGCUUGGCAGGGGAGAACUUAGGCGCUGUGCCUUUGGGAGGCUGGGAUUUAGAUCACAGCUGGGAAGCUAAGUCCUGACUGCACUGGCCGGAACCAAUGGGCUCCAGUAGCCGGAUGCUCUGCCAAGUCAGGAGGUAAUAACCGCCACGGCCUGGGAGAGAAGCUGGCACAGCCGUGGGCCCCUGCCCUGCGGUCUGGCCUCGCAGGUCCCCAGGCCGUGUACAGACACUGUGCGGCAGGGAAGCAGAGGCAGCCAUGGGGAGCAACCCUGUUUCUCAGUGCUACAUGCCUACUCUCCCUGAGCUGAUGUCUGGAAGACAGUAAAGGAGACCUGAGGCAGUGCUGCCCCUCCUUCCGUCUGCCACCUCCUCAGGGCUGGCCCAGGCCCUGCAGAGCAGGUGGUGGUGGCUGCUGGUGGUAAAGCCCGUCCAUCCAGAGCCUCGCUCUGCUCCCAAACCACCCACCUCCCGCUGCACAUGUGGCAGCUUCAGGAGCCUGGCGGGGCUAAGAGGAGAUGACAGACCCCAGCAAGGACAGGCUCAGCUUCUUGGGGACCGAGUCAUUGCCUGUUGCUUCUCCUGGGGGCCUCGACUGUCCGAGUGUGUUCAGGCACACGGUGCCCUGUCUGUUUCCCAGGCACUUGGGCCAAGGCUGGACAGGGAGGUGCCAUGUGGGACGAAAGCCCAGGCUGUGCAGUGCUGGUCACCGGGAGUGACCAUGGGUGAAGUCGCGCUGUGAGUGACUGCCUGUUAUCACUGACCACGCAGGGCCAUCCUGGGUGACCCGCUGUGCCACAAGCAACUGGUUCACAUUGGAGCCCCCCUCUGGAGCCCUGGGCAACCCGCUGCCAGUGGGCCUUUCUCCUGAGGCCCCUGGAGUCCCGGAGCAUCCCGUGAGUUCAUCUGCCAUACCUGUGAUUGCCAUGUGGGCCCAGCGCCCUCCAAUGGAAAAGCUGCAUUCAGUUCUGCCCGAGGAUCCCAGGCCUACGACACUGUCCUCAGGCUGCCAGGGAGCAGGAGGCUGUGGGGAUCUGCGUUCUUGCCAGGCCUGGGAGCAGCAGCCAAAAAGUGGACUUACGUGGACAAAAUGUUGGGCCAGGGAGGAGCCCUCGGCUCUGGACGGAUGUCUCUGGUGCUUUUAUGCCACGUGCAUUUCUGCAGAUUUGAUGCCCGGCAGCCAGCACUGGGCUGUGGCCAUGGUGGUGAGGCAGCCUUGGGUCUGCACGAGGCUCGGAGGCCUCCAGGAACCUCCCAGGAAUGUGACUGUGCCUGGAGAGAAGCGCCAUCUGCACGGCGCAGUCCAGAUGCUUCUCUCCUACAAGCCCAUCAUCAAACACACAGCUGCCCAGACUUCAGCAGGAUUUGUGCACAAGAAACGCAAAGGCACAGUCCAUCGGGUGAGGCAGAGGUGGAAGGAGCACCGGGGUGGGAGUGGAGGAGCACCGAGGUGGGGGCGCAGGAGCACCGAGGCGGGGGCGCAGGAGCACCGAGGCGGGGGCGCAGGAGCACCGAGGCGGGGGCGCGGGAGCACUGAGGCUGAGCUGUCUCUAGUGAUCUCUCAAGCCUCAGUGCAGUGGCCACAGGGCAAGGUGCCUCCUGGUGUGUCCUCGCCUCCAAAUCAGGCUGCUCCACUUCCCAGGUCAGAGUCCUGGGGGGUUGUGUUGACCCUGAGCCCCCACGAGCAUCCAAUCCAGCAGAGCUGGAAGGACCCAAGAACCUGCAUUCCUCAUGGCUCCCAUCAUGCUUCCGGUCCAGGAGCCACCAUCCAGACCACACUCCCAUUCAUCCCCUGGCCACGGAAGCUGAAGCCUUGGUUUCCCCACCUGUAAAGUGGGAGUAUCAACAUCACCCACAUCAAAGGGCCUGGAUUAGAUGCGGUGAUGCCCGUGGACUUUAGCAGCCCCGGUCCUCCAGGGGCCCUCCCAGGGAGCUGAGGCCCGGGUGGUCCUGGCGGCCGCUCCUUCUCCAGGCCGAAGACAGGAAGGUCUCUUGGGCUGACCUCAGGCAAGAGGCGGGGUGGGUCACGGCCUCCAGGGCCAGGCUGGGGCCUCCACAGAAAGCCCGUGGGUGGCGAGAGGGAGCCGGCUGGGGUGACUGAGGGUCGCUGGGUAGAUGAGGGAGGGACCCGGGGUUCUUGUGUUCACGUGUGUAUUUGCCCCGUGUUUCUGCUGACAUGCCACGUGUGCAACAAACAGGCUUGGCGAGCCAUCCCCACCACCCAGGCCGAGACGCCAGACGUGACUGGCACCCCAGGGUUCCCUCCCGGCCCCCAGAGGUAACCCCAAUGCUGGUUUACCACAGAUGACUCAUUCUGCCUGUUUUAGGGUUUUGAGUAAAUGAAACCCAACAGCGUGCAGUCUUUUUGCCUGGCUUCCCUUUAACCACGUCUGAGAGGCUCACUUUGCGGUUGCUUCUGUGGCUCCUGGACAGUUUCCCUUGUGCGGACACAACUCAGUGAGAGCACCCCUUCUUCCAUUUGUAGACUUUCCAAAUAGUCCAGGCGAGAGAGGCUCAGGUCUUGAGUUCAGGGAGGGGCAAUGCACAAGCAGACGCCAAGUGGAAGGGAGUACACCCCUCCCUUGGCGGGGAGGCCCUCGGGCUGGUGGGGAUGAGCGCCCCUCAGACGGCACCUGCGGGUGACAGGGUGUGACAUUCUGCUGUUUCUCGGAAGUAACUCGCAAGCAGCAUGGGGGUUCCUAGUGUGUUUCACAGACUCUCACCAAAUGUUAGGGUUCACUCCUUGUCCUACAGCUUAAAUACACCAAAAGUGAGAAAAUUACGAGAUAACAUUUCCCUCAGAGACCCAUAUUCUGUGUUAAAGAAUUCUUCCUUCUACCUAAAUCCAUCUCUUUACGGUCAGAUGUCAUUGGUUGUGGUAUUUUGUCCAUUUUCAGCUUUGUUUAGAUUUUUUUGACAUGCAAUUAAAUGCCCAUAUUUAAGACGUACGGUUUGAUAAGUUUUGACAUUCUGCUGCACCCACAGAGCCAUGACCACAAUCGAGACCAUGGACAUCCCCUCCCCCAGGCUGGCCCCUGCCCCGUCCCUCCACCCUCCUGCUCCUCUGAUGACACUGACCUUUCUGUCACUGUAGAUUAAUUCAUUUCUGUCCUGGGUAACACAGCGUGUAUACUCUUAUUGCCUGACAUUGUCUCACAGUGUAAUUAUUUUGAGAUUCAUCCAACAAUUCAUCCUUUCAAUGCUGGGGAGCACUAGUUGCAUGGGUGUAUCAUAAUUGGUUCAUCCACUGACCCGUGGAGGACGUUCAGGUUGUUUUGGAUUUUGGUGAUUACAGGCAAGGUUGUUGUGAACGUUUACGACACAGUCUUUCUGUGGACGUUCCCAGAACAGACAUGUCUGGGUCACAUGGUGACUCUGUGUAGCUUUUUAAGAAAUGGCCGAACCGUUCCCUGUGGUUCUUGUGUUAUGAUCCUGCCAACAUGCUGCGCGCUCCAGUUGCCCCACAUCCUCGCCAGCCCUUGGCAGGGCCACUUUUGAACAUGUUAGCCAUGCUGGUGGGUUUGUAGGCACCUCUCAUACUGGUCUUCGUUUGCACUUCCCUAAGGACUAAAUGGUUGUCAGCAUCGUCUUGCGUGCUUCUGUCUGUUAAUAUAGCUUCUUUGGUGAAAUAUCCAUUCAAAUAUUUUGCCUACUUUUUAAUUGAAUUGUUUUGUCUCAUUAUUGUGUUGAAAGGCUUCUUGACAUGUUUUAGAAAGAAGUCCUUUUUGAACAUGGUUUGCAAAUAAUUUCUCCAGCUUGGCAGCUUGCCUCUUUAUAGUGUCUCUUAAAGGGCAAAAGUUUUAAAUUAAUAAAAUUUAGCUUAUUGGUUUUUUCAUGUAGUUUGAACUUUUUGUGUUCUAUUUAAAAAACCUUUCCCAAACUAAAAGUCACCAUGAUUUUAUCUUAUCUUCUUCUUACAAGUUUUACUGUUUUAGUUCACACAUUUAGAUUUAUGACCUAUUACAAUUUUUUUUUUUGAGAUGGAGUCUCGCUCUGUCAGCCACACUGGAGUGCAGUGGCGUGGUCUUGGCUCUCUGUAACCUCCACUUCCCAGGUUCAAUCAAUUUUCAUGCCUCAGUCUCCUGAGUAGCUGGGAUUACAAGCACAUGCCACCAUGCCCAGAAAAUUUUUGUAUUUUUAGUAGAAACAGAGUUUCACCAUGUUGCCCAGGCUGGUCUUGAACUCCUGACCUCAAAUGAUCCACCUGCCUCAGCUUCCCAAAGUGCUGGGAUUACAGGUGUGAGCCACUGCAUCCAGCCCAAAGUUAAUUGUUGUAUGUGGUGUGAGGUAAGGGUUUUGAGGAUUUGUAAUUGUUUUAUUUUGUUGCUUAUGGGUGUCCAAAUGACCCAGCAUUCCUUGUGGAAAAGGUUAUUCUCUCCCUGUUGAAUUGCCUCAGCACAUUUAUCAAAAGUCAAUUGGCCAUAAAUGAGUAGUGGCCAUAGAUGAGUAGGCCUGGGUGUUGUUCUGUCUCAUUGACCUAUUUAUCUGUUAUAAUGAUUAUAUUGACUGUCUUGAUUAAAAUCAAGUAAUAUAAAUUCUUCAACUCUGUUCUUUUUUAUGCUUGCUUUGGUUACUCCAAGUCCUGUGCAUUUCUGUAUAAACCUUAGAAUUAGCUUACCAAUUUCUACAAAAAUCCUGCUGGGAUUCUGAUUGGGAUUGUGUUGAUUCUGGAGAUCAAUCUGGGGAGAGUUGGCAUCUUCCAUGAACAUGCUAUGGCUCCAUUUAUUUAGGCCUUUUUUCAUUCCUCUCAUUGAUGUUUCUCAGUUCUCAGUAUAUAGGACUUGUAAAUCUUUUGUCAAGUUUAUUUCUAAGUCCUCAGUAAUUUUAGCUUUGCAUUUUGAGCUAAUUAUAGCUUCACAAAAAGUUGCCGAAUAGUACAGAGGGGUCCCACAUUCCAUUCCUCAGCUUCCUACAAUGCAGCACUUUGCAGAGCUACAACAAAUUCUUAAAACCAGGAAACUGAUAUGGGCACCACGCAAGUCACUGGAUGACGGAGCUCAUUUGGACAUCCUAGGUUUCCGUGUGUUUGUUUUAUUCUGGGUACGACUCCGUGUGGAGAUUCUGCGAUGUGUGGCCGCAUAUGUGGAUUUCUGUAACCACAACCACAUUCGAGAUGCAUGACCGUCCAUCCCCACAGGUGUGAGGUGUGCCCCGCGGGGCCCUUCUCUAACCCACAGCACCCGCCGGCGUCACUCAUCCUUUCAAGAGUGUUAUGGGAACGGAGUGCGGAAUGCAGCCUUUGAGAUGGAGUUUUCUCCCAGAGUCUGUUUCUCUCCGUUGCUGAGCACGUUGUGUGGUGUGGAGGCACCACGAUGCGUCGGACACGCACCUGCUGACAGACAAUGGGGCUGUUCCCAGGUUUUCGCUGUUCCAAAUAAAGCUGCUAUGAUCGUUUGUG
Molecule: long non-coding RNA, 23084 nt
Filed under: Homo sapiens (human)
Lineage: Eukaryota; Metazoa; Chordata; Mammalia; Primates; Hominidae
Description: non-protein coding lnc-TMEM255B-5:35
Source: RNAcentral